RNAcentral lists this ribosomal RNA (253 nucleotides) under uncultured bacterium. Its description in RNAcentral is "partial 16S ribosomal RNA". It matches the Rfam family "Bacterial small subunit ribosomal RNA", at positions 524 to 776 of the family's 1533-position model. The record is from RNAcentral.
UACAGAGGUCUCAAGCGUUGUUCGGAUUCAUUGGGCGUAAAGGGUGUGUAGGUGGCGCCGUAAGUCGGGUGUGAAAUCUUGGAGCUUAACUCCGAAACUGCAUUCGAUACUGCCGUGCUUGAGGACUGGAGAGGAGACUGGAAUUUACGGUGUAGCAGUGAAAUGCGUAGAGAUCGUAAGGAAGACCAGUGGCGAAGGCGGGUCUCUGGACAGUUCCUGACACUGAGGCACGAAGGCCAGGGGAGCAAACGGG